RNAcentral lists this long non-coding RNA (658 nucleotides) under Zea mays. RNAcentral describes it as "long non-coding RNA NONZMAT001896". Lineage: Eukaryota; Viridiplantae; Streptophyta; Magnoliopsida; Poales; Poaceae. The record is from RNAcentral.
AAAAUCCGCGCCGGGACUCAACUAAUCCACGAAAUUCUGGGUGCCAUUGUGAUCGUGCUUACCUGGUCGUGGCUAUAAACUAACUGACGUGCAUCUCAUCAUUUCCCUCCUCCGCACGUGGACCAGAGCAAGCGCCACGCCGCGAAAAUCACAAACCGAGAGGAGUUCCGCCGUCGGGAAUCUCCGCCUGUGCUGGUGAAGCACCUCCGACGUGUCGACCCAGAGCUUCGCCGUGGUUUGUGGGAAGUUAGGGUGGCGGUAUUGGGCUCGGAGCGUCACCGGUGUCGACUCAAUUGCUCCCGGAGUCUCUGCGCGCCGUGAAUCCGCCUAACGUCAGGGAGAGAAGAAUUGGUCGCGCGACUCUUGGUAAUAAGUCCUACCCUACUUCCAUCUUAGCCCUAGCUUCGUGCUACAAGUGUCGUAUUCGUGUUCUAGGCAGAAAACGGGGAUUGGGCUAGUGGCUGGAGAUGGCGCCGCCGCGGGGGAGCUGUUCUACGGUGACUGGUGAAGGGGGGAUGUGACCGGGAAUCACGUGCCGUCGGAUUGCUCGCGGACGAUGGAGAUUUUCGCACACGUACCCCUUCACUAGUAUAGCUCUGAAGCGUUGGAUCGUAAUCUCACAGCCCAGAGGGGAUCUGGGACACUUGUUAUCAACGCC